GGGAAACUGCCUGAUGGAGGGGGAUAACUACUGGAAACGGUAGCUAAUACCGCAUAACGUCGCAAGACCAAAGAGGGGGACCUUCGGGCCUCUUGCCAUCAGAUGUGCCCAGAUGGGAUUAGCUAGUAGGUGGGGUAACGGCUCACCUAGGCGACGAUCCCUAGCUGGUCUGAGAGGAUGACCAGCCACACUGGAACUGAGACACGGUCCAGACUCCUACGGGAGGCAGCAGUGGGGAAUAUUGCACAAUGGGCGCAAGCCUGAUGCAGCCAUGCCGCGUGUGUGAAGAAGGCCUUCGGGUUGUAAAGUACUUUCAGCGGGGAGGAAGGUGUUGAGGUUAAUAACCUCAGCAAUUGACGUUACCCGCAGAAGAAGCACCGGCUAACUCCGUGCCAGCAGCCGCGGUAAUACGGAGGGUGCAAGCGUUAAUCGGAAUUACUGGGCGUAAAGCGCACGCAGGCGGUCUGUCAAGUCGGACGUGAAAUCCCCGGGCUCAACCUGGGAACUGCAUUCGAAACUGGCAGGCUAGAGUCUUGUAGAGGGGGGUAGAAUUCCAGGU
RNAcentral lists this ribosomal RNA (559 nucleotides) under uncultured bacterium. RNAcentral describes it as "bacterial SSU rRNA". It matches the Rfam family "Bacterial small subunit ribosomal RNA", at positions 120 to 674 of the family's 1533-position model. The record is from RNAcentral.